Non-coding RNA from Chiloscyllium plagiosum (whitespotted bambooshark), 1396 nucleotides. NCBI's taxonomy places the organism in Eukaryota, Metazoa, Chordata, Chondrichthyes, Orectolobiformes, Hemiscylliidae. The record is from RefSeq and is a predicted model, not a curated record.
AUACAAAUUCAAAAUUAGACCUUGAAUUUUUCUAAAAAUCCAUUUUGCAUGUAAUUAUAUGAACAUUAGUAAAUUAAAAGAGCUUGUAAAGUUUCCUGUUCUGCAUUCAUAAGGUUCAAAUGAAUUUCAAUUAUUUUGAGCAACAGUUACAACUCCACUUCUUUUUAAAAAAAUGCUAAGAUAGUGUAAGCUUAAAAAAAGUCUUUAAACCAGGCCAUUAAGUGUUAAUAGUUAAGGGUUAACUUGGACAAGACAAUGAGCAAUUGAAAUAAAAUGAACAUGUAGUAGAAAAUUGACCCAAUGCGAAAAUAGCCUGUUUUGACUGAAAAGUGAUACAAGCUUAUCGAUGGGAACUGUCUUGAAGAGCAGUUACCUUGGGCCAAAGGGACAUGUUGUUUCAGCAUAAUGGAAUUUUGGAAAUGUACUGAAAGUACCAGGGAAUGAUGACACAACAUGAAAUCUUGGACUCAGAACAGUAUUCAUAUCGGGGACUUUCUCCUAUUUAUGGGACUUCAGCUUGGACUAGGAUUACAAAUGGUGCCAGGAACCCUGAGUUCUCCAGACCAACCGAGACAUCAACUUAGAUGUCUAAUCUGCUUGAAACUGGCAUCCUUCAUAUUCUGGUCAGGAUAUGUCGUACACAAUACCACAUGGAAAAAGCUUGCUGAUAUGAUUUGCUUAUGAUGUGAUGCCACAGAGAGACCAGUGGCAUUUACACGGAACCAGCUGCCGUGGUUACCACUGACGUUUGCUGGAGAUUGAAGCAAGUGCAAAGUAGUUUGUUCAUUCACCAGUAGGUCAUACAUAAGGAAAGUAAAAUACGAGAAAGAAUGGAGUAAAGAAAUGUCAUUCAGCAUAUUAAAGAGCUUGCGAUUAGAUAGAAUCUUCCGCAAUUUCAAAUGUUCUAAAGUGAUUUACAGUUGAUAAGAUGUCAUGACUGAUGUAACGUUAAGAAACAAGGCAGCAAAUAUGGAGUCUUAAUCACUCAGAACAAAACUAAUGCUGCAAUUUGUUUUCAAAACAUUUUGUUUGGUGUUUUGCUUUUUAUAUCUUUUCCUUAGUCCUAUUUAUAUGUUGCAGGCCUCUACAUUGAUUUAAAUGUAAUUUAUACUUCCUGUUUUCACUUUCUACAUUUAUAUCUGUGAGAAUUCUUCAAUCUGAUUGGUUGAGUGGCUUUUCUGCUGCCUGCCAGCUCAUAGCCUCAGUGAAUUCAACAAACAGCUGUUGGAGGAGUCGAGAUCAGGAAUCUUCACUGAUAGGUCAACUGAAAGUCUGAGUUUAACUAUGUGGCAGCAGAAUGAUGAUAAUCCAAGUCUUUCUAUUUUGGUUGCCUUUUAAAGGAUAUAUGUUGAGCGAUUACCUUAUGUUUGUCUUCAAAUAGUGUAGUUGCAAUGUU